UGGGCGUAAGCGCACGCAGGCGGUCUGUCAAGUCAGAUGUGAAAUCCCCGGGCUUAACCUGGGAACUGCAUUUGAAACUGGCAGGCUAGAGUCUUGUAGAGGGGGGUAGAAUUCCAGGUGUAGCGGUGAAAUGCGUAGAGAUCUGGAGGAAUACCGGUGGCGAAGGCGGCCCCCUGGACAAAGACUGACGCUCAGGUGCGAAAGCGUGGGGAGCAAACAGGAUUAGAUACCCUGGUAGUCCACGCCGUAAACGAUGUCGACUUGGAGGUUGUGCCCUUGAGGCGUGGCUUCCGGAGCUAACGCGUUAAGUCAACCGCCUGGGGAGUACGGCCGCAAGGUUAAAACUCAAAUGAAUUGACGGGGGCCCGCACAAGCGGUGGAGCAUGUGGUUUAAUUCGAUGCAACGCGAAGAACCUUACCUGGCCUUGACAUCCACGGAAUUCGGCAAAAAUGCCUUAUUGCCUUCGGGAACCGUGAGACAGGUGCUGCAUGGCUGUCGUCAGCUCGUGUUGUGAAAUGUUGGGUUAAGUCCCGCAACGAGCGCAACCCUUAUCCUUUGUUGCCAGCGAGUAAUGUCGGGAACU
This 584-nucleotide ribosomal RNA is filed under the name Erwinia sp. RNAcentral's name for it is "bacterial SSU rRNA". It matches the Rfam family "Bacterial small subunit ribosomal RNA", at positions 555 to 1139 of the family's 1533-position model. Lineage: Bacteria; Pseudomonadati; Pseudomonadota; Gammaproteobacteria; Enterobacterales; Erwiniaceae. The record is from RNAcentral.